GUCGAAAGUUCGUUCUCUCCUGAGUGGAUCCUGAGUACGGCGGAACACGUGAAAUUCCGUCGGAAUCCGGGAGGACCAUCUCCCAAGGCUAAAUACUACCUAGUGACCGAUAGUGAACCAGUACCGGGAGGGAAAGGUGAAAAGCACCCCGGAAGGGGAGUGAAAGAGAUCCUGAAACCGUGUGCCUACAAGUAGUUAGAGCCCGUUAAUGGGUGAUAGCGUGCCUUUUGUAGAAUGAACCGGCGAGUUACGAUUACGUGCGAGGUUAAGCUUUAGAAGGCGGAGCCGCAGCGAAAGCGAGUCUGAAUAGGGCGAAUUAG
Molecule: ribosomal RNA, 320 nt
Filed under: Lysinibacillus xylanilyticus
Lineage: Bacteria; Bacillati; Bacillota; Bacilli; Caryophanales; Bacillaceae
Description: bacterial LSU rRNA
Rfam family: Bacterial large subunit ribosomal RNA
Source: RNAcentral